AUCCCACCACUUUUGUCAGUUCUGCUAUGGGAAUAUGUUUUAAAUGGAAGAAGGGUAAAAACUCCGCAGCUGUAAAACCAGGGUUGUGCUCUUAUGGGAAUACUCAGGCUGUGGGACAACUGAAAACAGAGGAAUGUGGGGAACUGCUGAGGGUCCACAGCGGUCUGCCGGGCACGUUCAUGUCCAGGAGAGGCACCACAGCCAUGACCAGCGUUGAAUUCUCUUGACAGCCUGUCUCUUGACGUUUCAAGUUUCAACGCCUGUGAAGUCUAUAUAAAAAGAAAAUAAAUAACAACAGCAGAAGAUUUCAGAGAAACCUCUAAAUUGGAUUAUACUGCGUGAGAGACUGGUUUAUACUGCUAAGAUUAGUCCAUCUGCCUGAGAAAUGCCAGAAACAAUUUACACUGCCUUCAGUGCAGGUAUAUCAACAAAACUGGUCCGAGAAGCUGUCCAGGUGGAAGGGGCAAUAGAUGUAUGCUGAUACGGGACGUAUUGGAGCGGCGGCGCGCUGCGUUUUGCACAUCUCCCCAGGAGCAGGCCAAGCAGGCGGGGGCAAGAUGGCGGGAGGGCCAUGGGCCCUCAGCACCGACUCAGGGGAAGGCAGAUCCGAGCCCCCUCUCUGCCCGCAAACUGGAGCGCUGUUUGAGAAAUCGGCCAGCAGAGUUUGGACGUUUGUCAGGGAAGAAAUAUUCCUAAAAUAUAUAUCCGAUGUAUCGGGUUAGCAGUUCUUCAGCUAGGAGGUCUCAUGCUUUUGUGGAAGAGAUCGUGCUCUGUAUCACCGACUUAUCACCCAUACUUUCUCAGGAAGUUCAGGGUCUGACUGGGCUGUGCUUUUGGCCAGAAGACAGCGUAUGUUCACAUGGAGAAGAGGUGGAUCUGAAUGUCUAUGAUUCUUCAGCAAGAUUUUAGCCUUCUCUAUUGCACUGCAAGCCUUACUGCAGCCCUUACAGAGAGGAGGAGUUCCCUAUGCCUAUGAAAACGUCUCAGCUGCCUCUUCUGUACUGCCAGGGAGAU
This is a long non-coding RNA of Calidris pugnax (ruff), 1014 nucleotides long. RefSeq lists it as uncharacterized. NCBI's taxonomy places the organism in Eukaryota, Metazoa, Chordata, Aves, Charadriiformes, Scolopacidae. The transcript is spliced from 8 exons. The record is from RefSeq and is a predicted model, not a curated record.